ACUAUACGGUGAAACUGCGAAUGGCUCAUUAAAUCAGUUAUCGUUUAUUUGAUAGUACUUCACUACAUGGACAACUGUGGUAAUUCUAGAGCUAAUACAUGCUAAAAACCCCGACUUCGGAAGGGGUGUAUUUAUUAGAUAAAAAACCAACGCCCUCCGGGGCUCCUUGGUGAAUCAUAAUAACUUAACGAAUCGCAUGGCCUUGAGCCGGCGAUGGUUCAUUCAAAUUUCUGCCCUAUCAACUUUCGAUGGUAGGAUAGUGGCCUACCAUGGUCUCAACGGGUAACGGGGAAUUAGGGUUCGACUCCGGAGAGGGAGCCUGAGAAACGGCUACCACAUCCAAGGAAGGCAGCAGGCGCGCAAAUUACCCAAUCCCGACACGGGGAGGUAGUGACAAUAAAUACUGAUACAGGGCUCUUUCGGGUCUUGUAAUUGGAAUGAGUACAAUUUAAAUCCCUUAACGAGGAACAAUUGGAGGGCAAGUCUGGUGCCAGCAGCCGCGGUAAUUCCAGCUCCAAUAGCGUAUAUUAAAGUUGUUGCAGUUAAAAAGCUCGUAGUUGAACCUUGGGCCUGGCUGGCCGGUCCGCCUCACCGCGUGUACUGGUCCGGCCGGGCCUUUCCUUCUGGGGAACCGCAUGGCCUUCACUGGCCGUGCCGGGGAACCAGGACUUUUACUUUGAAAAAAUUAGAGUGUUCAAAGCAGGCCUUUGCUCGAAUACAUUAGCAUGGAAUAAUAGAAUAGGACGUGCGGUUCUAUUUUGUUGGUUUCUAGGACCGCCGUAAUGAUUAAUAGGGACAGUCGGGGGCAUCCGUAUUCAAUUGUCAGAGGUGAAAUUCUUGGAUUUAUUGAAGACGAACUACUGCGAAAGCAUUUGCCAAGGAUGUUUUCAUUAAUCAGUGAACGAAAGUUAGGGGAUCGAAGACGAUCAGAUACCGUCGUAGUCUUAACCAUAAACUAUGCCGACUAGGGAUCGGUGGGUGUUAUUAUUUUGACCCCAUCGGCACCUUACGAGAAAUCAAAGUUUUUGGGUU
Molecule: ribosomal RNA, 1032 nt
Filed under: Neodevriesia lagerstroemiae
Lineage: Eukaryota; Fungi; Ascomycota; Dothideomycetes; Mycosphaerellales; Neodevriesiaceae
Description: SSU rRNA
Rfam family: Eukaryotic small subunit ribosomal RNA
Source: RNAcentral